AACCUGGUUGAUCCUGCCAGUAGUCAUAUGCUUGUCUUAAAGAUUAAGCCAUGCAUGUCUAAGUAUAAAUAGUAUACAGUGAAACUGCGAAUGGCUCAUUAAAACAGUUAUAGUUUAUUUGAUAGUGUUUUUACAUGGAUAACCGUGGUAAUUCUAGAGCUAAUACAUGCGCAAAUACCCGACUCACGAAGGGUAGCAUUUAUUAGUUUCAACCAUCACUUGGUGAAUCAUAGUAACUUAGCUGACCGCGCGCAAGCGUGGUAAAUCAUUCAAGUUUCUGCCCUAUCAGCUUUCGAUGGUAGUGUAUUGGACUACCAUGGCAGUCACGGGUAACGGAGAAUUAGGGUUCGAUUCCGGAGAGGGAGCCUGAGAAACGGCUACCACAUCUAAGGAAGGCAGCAGGCGCGUAAAUUACCCAAUCCCGAUUCGGGGAGGUAGUGACAAGAAAUAACAACUCGGGUGGUUUUCCACUUCGGGAUUGCAAUGAGACAAAUCUAAAAACCUUUACGAUUAACAAUUGGAGGGCAAGUCUGGUGCCAGCAGCCGCGGUAAUUCCAGCUCCAAUAGCGUAUACUUAAGUUGUUGCAGUUAAAAAGCUCGUAGUUGAAAGUCGAAUUAGUCACGCUGAUGGCUCCAGUCGUCACGUUGGCUGAUUCUCCGUCUAUGAACUUCUUGCUCCUUAAAAAGAAUAAGAUGUUGAGUAGACACUUUACCUUGAAAAAAUUAGAGUGUUCCAGGCAGGUUUUCGCCGGAAUACAUUAGCAUGGAAUAAUGGAAUAGGACACUGGUCUGUUGUUGGUUUUUGGACCAUUGUAAUGAUUAAUAGGGACAGAUGGGGGCAUUAGUAUUUAAUUGUCAGAGGUGAAAUCCUUGGAUUUAUUAAAGACUAACUUAUGCGAAAGCAUUUGCCAAGGAUGUUUUCAUUAAUCAAGAACGAAAGUUAGGGGAUCAAAGACGAUCAGAUACCGUCGUAGUCUUAACUAUAAACUAUACCGACUCGGGAUCGGAAGGGUUAUUUAUUUGGCCCUUUCGGCACCGUAAGAGAAAUCAAAGUCUUUGGGUUCUGGGGGGAGUAUGGUCGCAAGGCUGAAACUUAAAGGAAUUGACGGAAGGGCACCACCAGGAGUGGAGCCUGCGGCUUAAUUUGACUCAACACGGGGAAACUUACCAGGUCAAAACAUGGAUGGGAUUGACAGAUUGAAAGCUCUUUCUUGAUUCUAUGGGUGGUGGUGCAUGGCCGUUCUUAGUUGGUGGAGUGAUUUGUCUGGUUAAUUCCGAUAACGAACGAGACCUUAACCUGCUAACUAGUCCAUUCCUGAAUAAGGGGUGCGACUUCUUAGAGGGACUAUGUAUGUUAAAUGCAUGGAAGUUUAAGGCAAUAACAGGUCUGUGAUGCCCCUAGAUGUCCUGGGCCGCACGCGCGCUACAAUGACACGUUCAGCGAGCUCAUUACCUGGCCCGAAAGGGUUCGGGAAAUCUUGUUAGGACGUGUCGUGCUGGGGAUAGAUCUUUGUAAUUAUAGAUCUUGAACGAGGAAUUCCUUGUAAGCACAGGUCAUCAGCCUGUGCUGAAUACGUCCCUGCCCUUUGUACACACCGCCCGUCGCUCCUACCGAUUUCGAGUGAUGUGGUGAACCAUCUGGACUGCGAGUAGGCUCGAACUACUUGCGGGAAGUUUUGUAAACCUUAUCACUUAGAGGAAGGAGAAGUCGUAACAAGGUUUCCGUAGGUGAACCUGCAGAAGGAUCA
This 1748-nucleotide ribosomal RNA is filed under the name Paramecium sp. WS-2012. RNAcentral describes it as "partial small subunit ribosomal RNA". It matches the Rfam family "Eukaryotic small subunit ribosomal RNA". Lineage: Eukaryota; Ciliophora; Oligohymenophorea; Peniculida; Parameciidae. The record is from RNAcentral.